UGGGGAAUUUUGCGCAAUGGGGGAAACCCUGACGCAGCAACGCCGCGUGCGGGACGAAGGCCCUCGGGUUGUAAACCGCUUUCAGCAGGGAAGACUUUACGACGGUACCUGCAGAAGAAGCUCCGGCUAACUACGUGCC
Molecule: ribosomal RNA, 139 nt
Filed under: uncultured bacterium
Lineage: Bacteria
Description: partial 16S ribosomal RNA
Rfam family: Bacterial small subunit ribosomal RNA
Source: RNAcentral